RNAcentral lists this long non-coding RNA (2470 nucleotides) under Homo sapiens (human). RNAcentral's name for it is "HSALNT0212159". The record is from RNAcentral. Lineage: Eukaryota; Metazoa; Chordata; Mammalia; Primates; Hominidae.
UCUCAAACUCCUGACCUCAGGUGAUCCACCCACCUCGGCCUCCCAAAGUGCUGGGAUUACAGGCAUGAGCCACCACGCCUGGCCUGACAAAGUUCUUAAGAAUUUCAUCCUUUACUUUUAUUUCUAUUUCUUUACCAUUUUAUGAAACUUGUGCUGUAUUGACUUUACUUAAUGAGUUUCACUCACACUGUCUCUAAGAAACAAGCUACUAGGGAGGCUGAGGCAGGAGAAUCGCUUGAACCCAGGAGGUGGAGGUUGCAGUGAGCCGAGAUCGCGCCACUGCACUCUAGCCUGGGCAACAGAGCAAAACUCUGCCUCAAAAAAAAAAAAAGAAAAAGAAAAAAAAGAAAAAAGAAACAAGCUACCGUGUGGGACAAAAUAUAAACCAAGAAGGAUGAACAUAUAAAUCCUCCAGUAUAAGUUCAAGUACCAUCUCCUCCAGGGAGUUUUCUUGAUUCCUAAAAGGUAAGGGUAAUCUCUUCUCUUAUAGUAUGUGAUUUUCUUUUGACUGUUGUCUCAUUCAAUAUUAUACUAUGUAAAAAUCUCAUCUCCUCUACUACAUUAAAUGUAUCUAGGCCAGGGCAGUGGUUCAUGCCUGCAAUCCUAGUACUUCAGGAGGCUGGGGUGGGAGGAUCACUUGAGACCAGGAGUUUGAGAUCAGUCUGGCCAACCAAGUGAGAUCCUGUCUCUAUGAAAAUUUUAAUAAUUAGCCAGAGGUGGUGGUGUGCACCUGUAAUCUCAGUUACUUGGGAGGCUGAGGUGGAGGAUGGCUUGAGCCAGGAGUUAGUCUGUAGUAAGCUAUGAUUGUGCCACCAGCCUGGGUGACAGAGUAAGACCCUGUCUCCAAACAAACAAACAAAUAAAGGUACCUAAAAACAGGAGCUAUUUCUGUUAUCUUUAUCAUCCCAUACCAGGCACAAAAAAUAUGGAUCGUAAAAUGAAAGAACCAAACAGGGGAAAAACCUUAAUGAAAAACCUUAAUGCAAAGUUAACUAAUAUAGAUGAUGAUAGUGCUAUUCUCCCAAACUAACCUUAUAAAGAUACAAUAAAAAUGUAUUAGGAAUCUAAAGUAAAAAUAAAAUAUAGCACCGUUACAUGAUUAUUCUGUGAUUUUAGGUUUGUACAUGACUACUUUAUUUUUUACACACUCAAAAGAUGUAGUAUGCUAUGCUGCAUUUAGUAAGAAGUGAAAAGUAUAAAUUUUUACCACAUCAGACUCUGGAGAAAAUUCCAAAUACAAGGCCAGUUUCCAGAAGAGACCUGAAUUGUCCAACAUGAGUAGCUGCUCUGAGCAAUUUGCCUGUAGAAUGUUUGCAUAUCAAAGAAGCUGUUGCUAGGUGAACACAUCACAGAGGUACAAAGAAAAAGGACCUUCUAAAGUGUUACAGUAAAACCUGUAGCUCUGGCUGGGCGCAGUGGCUCACGCCUGUAAUCCCAGCACUUUGGGAGGCCAAGGCGGGUGGAUCACAAGGUCAAGAGAUUGAGACCAUCCUGGCCAAUAUGGUGAAACCCUGUCUCUAUUAAAAGUAUAAAAAUUAGCUGGGCGUGGUGGCAGGCGCCUGUAGUCCCAGCUACUCAGGAGGCUGAGGCAGGAGAAUCGCUUGAACCCGGGAGGCGGAGGUUGCAGUGAGCUGAGAUCACGCCAUUGCACUCCAGCCUGGGAGACAGAGCAAGACACCAUCUCAAAACAACAACAACAACAACAAAAACAUGUAGCUCUUUCUCCAAUUAAUGAAGUGAAAACACAAAUGAUUUUCAUCAAGCAUUAGUACUUUAAGUAAUCUUAAGAAAGUGAUCCCACCAAAAGUGAACAGUCCAGUAAACGUGAAAAUCAUAUUUUGGGCUUCUUUUGUGAAAUUCUUGGCUAGGUCAAAUAUUGUACUCCAAUACAUACAUCUCAUCAAGGUAGAAGUACUUCGAAAGAAGGGGAAAUGAUGUUUCCAUUUACUAUUCCUAAAGCAUUAGAUGUGUUAAAAAACUGGGAUUCUGGCCAGGCGCGGUGGCUCACGCCUGUAAUCUUUCUUUAUAUGUAAAUAUUACUUUAAGAUAAAUUCCUAAACUGGGAGAGGUGGCUCACGCCUGUAAUCCCAACGUUUUGGAAGGUCAAGGUGGGAGGAUGGUUUGAGGCCAGGAGCUGGAGACCAGUCUGGGCAACAUAGCAAGACUAUCUCUACAGGAAAAUUUUUUAAUUAAUCAGGGGUGGUGGCAUGUGCCUAUAGUCCCAACUACUCAGAAGGAUCACUUUAGCCCAGGAGUUCAGGGUUGCAGUGAGCUGAUUGUGUUACUGCACUCCAGCCUGGGUGACAGAGUAAAAUCCUGUCCAAAAAAAAAAAAUCCUGGAAGUGGAAUUACAAUGUCAAAGAAAAUACAAAUUUAAAAUUUUCGGGCCAGGUAUGGUGGUUCACACCUGUACCAAUCCCAGCACUUUGGGAGGCCAAGGAAGGCAGAUCACGAGGUCAAGAUUGAGACC